Molecule: microRNA precursor, 126 nt
Filed under: Myotis brandtii (Brandt's bat)
Lineage: Eukaryota; Metazoa; Chordata; Mammalia; Chiroptera; Vespertilionidae
Description: mir-9193 microRNA precursor family
Rfam family: mir-9193 microRNA precursor family
Source: Rfam by way of RNAcentral
CAUGCACCGGUGGGGUCCCUCAGACUGGCCUGCACCCUCUUGCAAUCUGGGACCCUUUGGGAGAUGUCAGAGAGCCAGUUUUGGCCCGAUCCUGCAGGCCAGGCUGAGGGACUCCACUGGUGCAAG